RNAcentral lists this ribosomal RNA (469 nucleotides) under uncultured Alphaproteobacteria bacterium. RNAcentral's name for it is "bacterial SSU rRNA". It matches the Rfam family "Bacterial small subunit ribosomal RNA", at positions 9 to 524 of the family's 1533-position model. Lineage: Bacteria; Pseudomonadati; Pseudomonadota; Alphaproteobacteria. The record is from RNAcentral.
GAGUUUGAUCUUGGCUCAGAACGAACGCUGGCGGCAGGCUUAACACAUGCAAGUCGAACGCCCCUUUCGGGGGGAGUGGCAGACGGGUGAGUAACGCGUGGGAACGUGCCCUUCAGUUCGGAAUAACCCAGGGAAACUUGGGCUAAUACCGGAUACGUGCGAGAGCAGAAAGAUUUAUCGCUGAAGGAUCGGCCCGCGUCUGAUUAGCUAGUUGGUGAGGUAAUGGCUCACCAAGGCGACGAUCAGUAGCUGGUCUGAGAGGAUGAUCAGCCACAUUGGGACUGAGACACGGCCCAAACUCCUACGGGAGGCAGCAGUGGGGAAUAUUGGACAAUGGGCGCAAGCCUGAUCCAGCCAUGCCGCGUGAGUGAUGACGGCCUUAGGGUUGUAAAGCUCUUUCGUCCGGGACGAUAAUGACGGUACCGGAAGAAGAAGCCCCGGCUAACUUCGUGACAGCCGCCGCGGUAAC